CACAGAGUUGUUGGCUAGUAAGCAGCCCGACAUCUGCACAUGCCAGGUCGUCUUCCUUGCCUCCAUCUCCUCACAAGCUCUGUGUAAAAGGCACUUGCCCAGCCAACGGAGCCACCGGUUUACCACAUGCUCUAUGUUGCGCAUGCAUUUGACUUCACGAAUAGUUUAUUACAAGUACUCCACUGCACAUGUCUUUGAUUGAUUUGGCUUUGGAUAUUUCCCGAGCAUACGAAGCUCCAUGAGCAAAGAGGCAGUAUAAAUGCAGACAGGAGGAUAGAACUUUUCUCUCAUGUACCAUCAGGAAUAUCAAGGUUGAUGUAGUUUUUGAGAGCAGUGCUUGUUCAGUGGUGAACAUUUGAGUCCUUCACACUCAUUCUUACUGGUCAUGCACUAGAAAGGAUCCUGUCGUGUUAUCUGUUAUGUAUCACUUCAUAUGUAUGUACGCAUGUCUCUUGUGUAUGCACAAAUAUUUGUGACUAGGAAGGUCUAGUUUCACAAGAUCUGUGCAAGUGAUGGCUUGUCAUGUACUCAGAUAUUUCAAAUAUUUGUAUCUGGAAUGGUCCAGUUUGUCAUGUACUUGAAGGAGAUGGCUUAAAUUUCUCAUCUUCUCAAAUGUUUGUGAUAUA
Triticum dicoccoides is the source of this 626-nucleotide long non-coding RNA. RefSeq lists it as uncharacterized. The record is from RefSeq and is a predicted model, not a curated record. The transcript is spliced from 2 exons. NCBI's taxonomy places the organism in Eukaryota, Viridiplantae, Streptophyta, Magnoliopsida, Poales, Poaceae.